GGAGAGAUGCCGGAGUGGUUGAACGGGACGGUCUCGAAAACCGUUAAGGGAGCAUAAUCCCUUCCAGGGUUCAAAUCCCUGUCUCUCCA
This 89-nucleotide transfer RNA is filed under the name Sodalis endosymbiont of Henestaris halophilus. It matches the Rfam family "tRNA". Rfam says of the family: Transfer RNA (tRNA) molecules are approximately 80 nucleotides in length. Their secondary structure includes four short double-helical elements and three loops (D, anti-codon, and T loops). Further hydrogen bonds mediate the characteristic L-shaped molecular structure. tRNAs have two regions of fundamental functional importance: the anti-codon, which is responsible for specific mRNA codon recognition, and the 3' end, to which the tRNAs corresponding amino acid is attached (by aminoacyl-tRNA synthetases). tRNAs cope with the degeneracy of the genetic code in two manners: having more than one tRNA (with a specific anti-codon) for a particular amino acid; and 'wobble' base-pairing, i.e. permitting non-standard base-pairing at the 3rd anti-codon position. Lineage: Bacteria; Pseudomonadati; Pseudomonadota; Gammaproteobacteria; Enterobacterales; Bruguierivoracaceae. The record is from Rfam by way of RNAcentral.